Molecule: unclassified non-coding RNA, 1472 nt
Filed under: Hevea brasiliensis (rubber tree)
Lineage: Eukaryota; Viridiplantae; Streptophyta; Magnoliopsida; Malpighiales; Euphorbiaceae
Source: RNAcentral
UAGCUACUUUCCUCUUUUCUGUGUUUAAAAUAUUAGGCAAAUAAAUAAAUUGGCCAGCAUUACUGAAAUAGCUACUUUCCUCUUUUCUGUGUUUAAACAUUUGAUGCUAAGUUCAAUCACCAGGACUUCUUUUGACCAAAUUCUUUAGAGACUAUUUUCUUCAACAUAGAAAGCCAGGUUUUUAACUUAAGCAGUUAUAUAUGAUACAAGACCACCAAAGUUUAAUCGCCAGCGAGAUCCAUGAAGAAUUUUCCGAUCAACUACCCUUUUAUUAUUUGAGCAGAAAUAUUCCUCUUUGCUUUCCAUAGUCACUUCAAGGAGUUCUCAAUAUCUAUCACAAACCGGUACUUCACAUCUCUCUUUACUACCCUUUCAAGAGCUUCAUUUGCAUACUCAAUAGGGAUUAUUUCUACCUUGGGGUAAACUUUAUGAGCAGCACAAAAGUCCAGCAUUUCUUGUAUCAUUUUUGUACCACCUGUAAUGCUACCAGACACAGUUCUCAUACCCCGGUUGAGAGUUGCAGGACUGAAUUUGACUUCACUUGGAAACCCCACGAGGACAAGAACCCCAGCUGUUUUCAAAAGUGAGAUGUAUAGAUCAAAUGGGUGAUCACCAGAUGCUGUGUCAACUAUAAAGUCCAGUGAUUUAGAGAGUGCCUUCAUCUGGUCUUGGUCAGAUGAGACAACAAAAUUGUCUGCACCAAGCACCCUCAAGGCUUCUUCUUUCUUGGAAAUGCUUGUGCUAAAAACAGUUACUUUCAGUCCAAAAGCCUUCCCAAACUUCACUGCCAUGUGACCAAGACCACCUAGCCCAAUCACUCCUAGAGAUUUACCAGGUUGGUUCAUCCCAUGUCGCAUCAUGGGAUUGUAAACAGUAAUUCCAGCACAUAGCAGAGGUGCUGCUAAGGCCGAAGGAUAAUCAUCUGGUAUCCUAAAGCAGUACCUUUCAUGGACAACAAUGUAGCUAGAAUAUCCUCCUUUUGUGAUUGUACCAUCCACAUCAAUGGCAUUAAAAGUAAAAACUGCCCCUUUUACACAAUUAACUUCUUGUCUGUCAUUACAAUAUUCACAUUCUUUGCAUGAGUUAACAUAAGUGCCUACUCCAACACGGUCACCAGCCUUGAAGCGGCUCACAUUGGAACCAAUCUCUUUUACAAUUCCAACAAUCUCAUGUCCUGGCACCAAGGGAUACUUUGAAUCUCCAUGCAUAUUCCUUGUCCAAAUAACAUCAGCAUAGCAGAUUCCACAAUGUGUAAUUUUUAAGGAAACAUCAUCUUCCCCAACAGUCCUGCGCUUGAACUUGUACAGUGAUAGAACUCCAGAUGGAUCUCUAGCUGCCCAUGCAAAGCAGUCCCUUUCAUUCUCAGAACUCAUUGCUAAGUGUCAAUUAUUCCACCAUAAAGCAUUGGCUAAUCAGUUACACUUUGUGGAAAACAACCAGAACUAUAAACUGUGGAAUCAGAUCCUCUUAUC